UUACUUAGUGGCGGACUGGUGAGUAACGCGUGAGGAACCUGCCUUUCAGAGGGGGACAACAGUUGGAAACGACUGCUAAUACCGCAUGACACAUCGAUGGGGCAUCCCGUUGAUGUCAAAGAUUUAUCGCUGAAAGAUGGCCUCGCGUCUGAUUAGAUAGUUGGCGGGGUAACGGCCCACCAAGUCGACGAUCAGUAGCCGGACUGAGAGGUUGACCGGCCACAUUGGGACUGAGAUACGGCCCAGACUCCUACGGGAGGCAGCAGUGGGGAAUAUUGGGCAAUGGACGCAAGUCUGACCCAGCAACGCCGCGUGAAGGAAGAAGGCUUUCGGGUUGUAAACUUCUUUUGUCAGGGAAGAGCAGAAGACGGUACCUGACGAAUAAGCCACGGCUAACUACGUGCCAGCAGCCGCGGUAAUACGUAGGUGGCAAGCGUUGUCCGGAUUUACUGGGUGUAAAGGGCGUGUAGGCGGAGAAGCAAGUCAGAAGUGAAAUCCAUGGGCUUAACCCAUGAACUGCUUUUGAAACUGUUUCCCUUGAGUAUCGGAGAGGCAGGCGGAAUUCCUAGUGUAGCGGUGAAAUGCGUAGAUAUUAGGAGGAACACCAGUGGCGAAGGCGGCCUGCUGGACGACAACUGACGCUGAGGCGCGAAAGCGUGGGGAGCAAACAGGAUUAGAUACCCUGGUAGUCCACGCUGUAAACGAUGAAUACUAGGUGUGCGGGGACUGACCCCCAGCGUGCCGCAGUUAACACAAUAAGUAUUCCACCUGGGGAGUACGAUCGCAAGGUUGAAACUCAAAGGAAUUGACGGGGGCCCGCACAAGCAGUGGAGUAUGUGGUUUAAUUCGAAGCAACGCGAAGAACCUUACCAGGUCUUGACAUCGUGCGCAUAGUAUAGAGAUAUAUGAAGUCCUACGGGACGCACAGACAGGUGGUGCAUGGU
Molecule: ribosomal RNA, 944 nt
Filed under: wastewater metagenome
Description: bacterial SSU rRNA
Rfam family: Bacterial small subunit ribosomal RNA
Source: RNAcentral